UGCAUGUCUAAGUAUAAGCAAUUAUACAGCGAAACUGCGAAUGGCUCAUUAUAUAAGUUAUCGUUUAUUUGAUAGUACCUUACUACUUGGAUAACCGUGGUAAUUCUAGAGCUAAUACAUGCUAAAAAUCCCGACUUCGGAAGGGAUGUAUUUAUUAGAUUAAAAACCAAUGCCCUUCGGGGCUCCUUGGUGAUUCAUGAUAACUCCUCGAAUCGCAUGGCCUUGUGCCGGCGAUGGUUCAUUCAAAUUUCUUCCCUAUCAACUUUCGAUGUUUGGGUAUUGGCCAAACAUGGUUGCAACGGGUAACGGAGGGUUAGGGCUCGACCCCGGAGAAGGAGCCUGAGAAACGGCUACUACAUCCAAGGAAGGCAGCAGGCGCGCAAAUUACCCAAUCCCGACACGGGGAGGUAGUGACAAUAAAUACUGAUACAGGGCUCUUUUGGGUCUUGUAAUUGGAAUGAGUACAAUUUAAAUCCCUUAACGAGGAACAAUUGGAGGGCAAGUCUGGUGCCAGCAGCCGCGGUAAUUCCAGCUCCAAUAGCGUAUAUUAAAGUUGUUGUGGUUAAAAAGCUCGUAGUUGAACCUUGGGCCUGGCUGGCCGGUCCGCCUCACCGCGUGUACUGGUCCGGCCGGGCCUUUCCCUCUGUGGAACCCCAUGCCCUUCACUGGGUGUGGCGGGGAAACAGGACUUUUACUUUGAAAAAAUUAGAGUGCUCCAGGCAGGCCUAUGCUCGAAUACAUUAGCAUGGAAUAAUAGAAUAGGACGUGUGGUUCUAUUUUGUUGGUUUCUAGGACCGCCGUAAUGAUUAAUAGGGACAGUCGGGGGCAUCAGUAUUCAAUUGUCAGAGGUGAAAUUCUUGGAUUUAUUGAAGACUAACUACUGCGAAAGCAUUUGCCAAGGAUGUUUUCAUUAAUCAGGAACGAAAGUUAGGGGAUCGAAGACGAUCAGAUACCGUCGUAGUCUUAACCAUAAACUAUGCCGACUAGGGAUCGGACGAUGUUAUUUUUUGACUCGUUCGGCACCUUACGAGAAAUCAAAGUGCUUGGGCUCCAGGGGGAGUAUGGUCGCAAGGCUGAAACUUAAAGAAAUGACGGA
This 1096-nucleotide ribosomal RNA is filed under the name Cylindrodendrum alicantinum. RNAcentral's name for it is "SSU rRNA". It matches the Rfam family "Eukaryotic small subunit ribosomal RNA", at positions 52 to 1160 of the family's 1831-position model. The record is from RNAcentral. Lineage: Eukaryota; Fungi; Ascomycota; Sordariomycetes; Hypocreales; Nectriaceae.